AUGGAGAAUGGAAAAUUGACAGCCAUGCCUGCAGUUCUGAUACAUACAUCUAUAUGUGUACAUGUGGCCAAAGAAAAGAAAUACAAAAAGCAGCUAGUGAAAUUAGAGUAGCUGCCCAUAUAUACUGCACCAUCUCUCCAGUCUAAAUAUGUUGAAGAGCAGCCUGGCCAUUUACAAAUAGGCUUUGCUUCUAUUCACACUACAACUGGUCAUUACAUUGGCUGGUGCAAGGGUGUUUACAUCUUUGUGAAAAAUGGGAUAACACAUAUGAUACAAUUUGGAAAAAGUAGAUGCAUAUGUCUUUCUGAAGAACACUCCUCAAGAUUUUCUUCCAAAAAUGGAAGCGAUUACGGUGAUUUCAGGAUUGGUGGGCUUGGUUUGAGCGAGAAAAAGUUCUAGGUUUAAGAAAAUAACCACUUAUGCUCUGGGCCUGGCCACUUUAAGAGCAACUGCUUGCUAUCCAGUUCAGUGAGUAAUAAUUGCUAAGGUAAUAGGGAAAAGGCAUAUGCUACAAACCAGCAAAUUUAUAAAGCAGUUAAAUAGUUAUAGACCAAAGCAACAAAAAGAGUCACUUCUUGAACCUAAAGAAAAACUAAGCUAGGAAGCUCUGCUGAAACAGAAAUACCUGCAAAAACAACUCAUGUCCUGAAAUAGUGCCUUUGCCAUCAGAACUCGGCUCUGAAGGAAAGACCAAAUCAGAAUCCACCUCAGGUGCUACCCAGUUUAUGCCUGACCCCAAGUUCAUGGAUCACAGGCAGUCCCACCCAGAAGAUGUAGAUCAGUACAGCACUAGAAGCUGAAGUAGACUGCAUAGAGAGAUUGCAUAGAAAACUACAAG
This is a non-coding RNA of Microcebus murinus (gray mouse lemur), 838 nucleotides long. Lineage: Eukaryota; Metazoa; Chordata; Mammalia; Primates; Cheirogaleidae. The record is from RefSeq and is a predicted model, not a curated record.